CCACUGUAAAAGUUUCACACUGGCUACAAAUUAAAACUUUUCUGCAAAACUUGUGUGGUUCCAGUAAUUUACACAUGUUGCCUGUAAACAAUGAUAAUCGUCCUCAAUAUCAAUGACAGAAAUAUUAAAGCAUGUAUAGAGGAUGUAAACAAAAAUUGUUUUAAUUUGUACAUCUGUAUAUCCAUGGUUAAGAAUAUGUUCCUUUUUGCUUUUGCAAGGCAAAAUUAGUUUGUCAAAAAUACUGUGUGUAUGUGUGUGUGUGUGCGUGUGUAUUGUUUCUGCUGCUUAUUAGUGUUACUCUUUAUCACGUUGUUGUCAUCUUGAACAUAUAAGCUUCAAUGUGAUUUGUAAAAGUCAUGAUGUUAUAUUUUUGUAAACAGUAGAUAGUGCAUUCCAGUUUGACUCAUAAACUGCUUUUAUUCCCCUACAUCAUAUUUUGCUGCAUCCUGGGAAAACUUGGCUUUAUGAAUGUACAUUAAGUGCCUUCCUAGUUUAGCCUGUGCAGUCUGCACACUUUCCUUUUUAUGCCCCCGGUAGGGUGGCAUAUAGCAGUUGAACUGUCCGUCAGUUAGUAUGUCAGUCUGUCCGUCCGUCUAAAAACUUUAAUAGUCAUAACUUUUUAAAUAGUUAUGCCCCCCUUCAAAGAAGAGGGGGUAUAUUGCUUUGCACAUGUCGGUCGGUCUGUCGGUCCACCAGGUGGUUUUCAGAUGAUAACUCAAGAACGCUUGGGCCUAGGAUCAUGAAACUUCAUAGGUACAUUGAUUAUGACUCGCAGAUGACCUCUAUUGAUUUUGAGGUAAAAGGUCAAGGUCACGCUGACCCGAAAUAGUAAAAUGGUUUCCGGAUGAUAACUCAAGAACGCAUACGCCUAGGAACAUGAAACUUCAUAGGUAGAUUGAUCAUGACUCGCAGAUGAUCCCUAUUGAUUUUGAGGUCACUAGGUCAAAGGUCAAGGUCACGGUGACCCGAAAUAGUAAAAUGGUUUGUGGAUGAUAACUCAAGAACGCAUACGCCUAGGAUCAUGAAACUUCAUCGUUAGAUAGAUCAUGACUCGCAGAUGACCUCUAUUGAUUUCGAGGUCAAAGGUCAAGGUCACUGUGACCCAAAAUAUUAAAAUGAUUUUCUGAUGAUAACUCAAGAACGCAUACGCCUAGGAUCAUAAAACUUCAUAGGUAGAUUGAUCAUGACUGGCAGAUGACCCCUAUUGAUUUUUAGGUCACUAGGUCAAAGGUCAAAAUCAUGGUGACCCGAAAUAGUAUAAUGAUUUUCAGAUGAUAACUCAAGAACGCAUAUGCCUAGGAUCAUGAAACUUCAUGGGUAGAUUGAUCAUGACUGGCAGAUGACCCCUAUUGAUUUUGAGGUCACUAGGUAAAAGGUCAAGGUCACAGUGACCCGAAAUAGUUAAAUGGUUUCCGGAUGAUAACUCAAGAACGCUUACGCCUAGGAUCAUGAAACUUCAUAGGUACAUUGGUCAUGACUUGCAGAUGACCCAUAUCGAUUUUUAGGUCACUAGGUCAAAGGUCAAGGUCAUGGUGACCCGAAACAGUAAAAUUGUUUCCGGAUGAUAACUCAAGAACGCUUUUGCCUAGGAUCAUGACGCUUCAUAGGUACAUUGAUCAUGACUCGCAGAUGACCCCUAUUGAUUUUCAGGUCACUAGGUCAAAGGUCAAGGUCACAGUGACAAAAAACGUAUUCACACAAUGGCUGCCACUACAACAGACAGCCCAUAUGGGGGGCAUGCAUGUUUUACAAACAGCCCUUGUUAACAUAGCAACUUGAUAUUGGGCAUGCAUGUGCAUCUCAUGGAGCAGCAGAUUUUGAGUGGUGUAAGGUGAAGGGCAUCCUUCAAGGUCAAAUAUCAAAUAUAUGGCGUCUGUCUGUCCGAAAACUUUAACAUUGGCCAUAACUUUUUCAAUAUUGAAGAUAGCAACUUGAUAUUUUGCAUGCAUGUGUAUCUCAUUGAGCUGCACAUUUUGAGUGGUGAAAGGUCAAGGUCAUCCUUCAAGGUCAAAGAUCAAAUAUAGCAACUCGAUAUUUUGCAUGCAUGCGUAUCUCAUGGAGUUGCACAUUUUGAGCGUGAAAGGUCAAGGUCAUCCUUCAAGGUCAAAUGUCAAAUUUUGCAAUAUUAAAGAUAGCAACUCCAUAUUUGGCAUGCAAGCGUAACUCAUGGAGCUGCACAUUUGGAGUGGUGAAAGGUCAAGGUCAUCCUUCAAGGUCAAAAGGAAAAAUAUAUAGCUUCAAAGCGGCGCAGUAGGGGGCAUUGUGUUUCACGAACACAGCUCUUGUUUAAGGAAUAUCUUAAUAUGAGGUCUCUCAUUAAUUAACAAUAAUCUAGUGUAGACAGAAAGCAUUGUCCCUAAUUAGCCUGAGCAGACUGCACUGGCCAAUCUGGAACGACACUACGCACAUGCAUUAAGCCCUGUUUUCCCACAAUGUGGCUCAUAUACCUUAAUCCCAACAUAUUAUACAGUUUAUCAAGUACACUUUCAAUUAUUAUAUUUAUUUUUAUCUACUCUUAUUACUCUUGCAAUUAUGCAUGCAUGGGUGUUUAGUAAAUUGACACAAUUGAAAAAAAUUGUUUCAGAUUCGCAAAUUGUCGCUGUAGUUAUGAUAUUUGCAAGGAAACAGUAAUACUGAACAUUUACAAUGCUGUAAAAUAUCCAUAAUAUGCAUCUUUUGACGAUGUAAAAACAUGAAAUUAUCAAGUCUUACAAACAUGAAAUGCUUGAAAAAUUUGAACAUUUCUGACAUUAUGUUAAUAUUUUGUGACACUCCGAGGAUUGCUUAUACAUGUAUAAAGUAUAAAAUAUACAACUCACUGUAUGAACACAGAAGUCGGGGUGUUUUAAAUGCUGAAGUUUUACUCCAAGGGUCAGUGGUUCAAAACCAGUUGAGGUUUUCUUUCUUUAAUUUUAUUCUUCUUUUUUUUUACCAAUGUUUACAUGAAAUUUUAUCAAUUUAAAGCAUUUAAUGACAAACUUUAAUACAUGCCGAAAUCUGCGAAAAGGUCUUUUUAAUAAGAUUCUCACUACCAGAUUAAUUUUGUUCCUUUAUUGGAGCAUUCUAAUUUUCCUUUGCAUAAGAUUUUAAGAACUCUAUUUUUUAUCUUAGAUCAAUUAUAAGUAAACUGUUAUUAAACGUGAAAUUUGAGACUUCAAGUAAGGCUUAAUAUUCAUGAGAUAUCAGUGGUUAUCUAAAAUCAUAGUAAACAAGUUUGCAUUAUACUUGACAGCUUUAUGUAUAAUCCAUUUGAUUCCAAAAUGAUUCAUCUGUAUAUAUGCAAAUAAAGCUGUUGAAUUCAACAGUUGAAUUAUUAUGAUGAUGUGUACUGUUUUACGUGCUUUGCUUGUUCGAAUAAAUUCGUCCAUAUCAUUUCUUUUUAUGCCUCCCUUCGAAGAAGAGGGGGUAUAUUGUUUUGCACAUGUCGGUCGGUCCGUCCACCAGAUGGUUCCCGGAUGAUAACUCAAGAACGCUUAGGCAUAGGAUCAUGAAACUUUAUAGGUAAAUUGAUCAUGACUGGCAGAUGACCCCUCUUGAUUUUCAGGUUACUAGGUCAAAGGUCAAGGUCACAGUGACUCGAAAUAGUAAAAUGGUUUCCGAAUGAUAACUCAAGAAUGCUAACGCCUAAGAUCAUGAAACUUCAUUGGUACAUCGAUUAUGACUGGCAGAUGACCCCUAUAAAUUUUAAGGUCACUAGGUCAAAGGUCAAUGUAACAGUGACAAAAACGUAUUCACACAAUGGCUGCCACUACAAUUGACAGCCCAUAUGGGGGGCAUGCAUGUUUUACAAACAGCCCUUGUUUAUUUUGGCGUCUUUGAAUUAUGGUAUUGUCAUUAUGUCUUUCAUUUGUUAAUUGUUGUUUGUUAACCUUGCGCGGGGUAACACAUUCAUACUGGAAUAUAUGUGUAGUCAUAAAAAUAAUGAUAUUGUUUCUUUUUGUAUAAACUGAAAAAAAAAAUGUUUCUUUUGGAUUAUUUUACACUUACUGCUAUAUCUCUAGUUUUAAUUGUUUGUUUUAUCUUGCGCAUCAACCCCGAAGUUACUAAAACACAGACAAACAGACACAUUGCAAGAAUCCAUGCCAAUUAGCUCCUGUCAUUGUGAGUCCUAUUUAACUGCUGUAAUAUAAACACAAUAUAUUGUAAACAAAGCUUUAAAUCUCAAUGUGCUGAUUGUGUAUGUAAUAAAGAAAUCUACGUAAA
This is a long non-coding RNA of Dreissena polymorpha, 4203 nucleotides long. RefSeq lists it as uncharacterized. Lineage: Eukaryota; Metazoa; Mollusca; Bivalvia; Myida; Dreissenidae. The record is from RefSeq and is a predicted model, not a curated record. The transcript is spliced from 2 exons.